UACGGGGGGGGCAAGCGUUGUUCGGAAUUACUGGGCGUAAAGGGUUCGUAGGUGGCUUGUUAAGUCAGACGUGAAAUCCCUCGGCUCAACCGGGGAACUGCGUCUGAGACUGAUGAGCUCGAGUGCAGGGGAGGAACGCGGAAUUCCAGGUGUAGCGGUGAAAUGCGUAGAUAUCUGGAGGAACACCGGUGGCGAGGCGGCGUUCUGGACUGCAACUGACACUGAGGAACGAAAGCCAGGGGAGCAAACGGG
RNAcentral lists this ribosomal RNA (252 nucleotides) under uncultured bacterium. Its description in RNAcentral is "partial 16S ribosomal RNA". It matches the Rfam family "Bacterial small subunit ribosomal RNA", at positions 524 to 776 of the family's 1533-position model. The record is from RNAcentral.